AGCAGUCGCCGCGGUAACACGGAGGAUCCAAGCGUUAUCCGGAAUCAUUGGGUUUAAAGGGUCCGUAGGCGGUCUUGUAAGUCAGUGGUGAAAGCCCAUCGCUCAACGGUGGAACGGCCAUUGAUACUGCAGGACUUGAAUUAUUGGGAAGUAACUAGAAUAUGUAGUGUAGCGGUGAAAUGCUUAGAGAUUACAUGGAAUACCAAUUGCGAAGGCAGGUUACUACCAAUUGAUUGACGCUGAUGGACGAAAGCGUGGGUAGCGAACAGGAUUAGAUACCCCCGUAGUCCCUGUCUCUUAUAC
RNAcentral lists this ribosomal RNA (303 nucleotides) under uncultured bacterium. Its description in RNAcentral is "partial 16S ribosomal RNA". It matches the Rfam family "Bacterial small subunit ribosomal RNA", at positions 507 to 807 of the family's 1533-position model. The record is from RNAcentral.